CGAAGUUAAAAGCCAAAAUGGUUAAAACGAAAAUUUUAAAGUUCUAGUUUCAUUUUCCAGACUCUAUAAAUAAUCCACUAUAUUUCUUCAGUCUCACAUCCUGGUAUCCAACACACUCUCCAUCUUUCUAUCUCUCACUUGCUUUUACUUGGAUACUUCGAGGAAAGAUUUCAGAUUUCUCUUAAUCUUCCCAAUCCAACUAAGUAAUCCACGUGAUCCCAUUGAUUCAAAAAGCUAGUUUUCCUUGGUAACAUUUGCCUGUACGUAGCAUCUAAGAAGGUAAUAUUUUUGCAUCUUUAGUUUUUCUCAUAUUUUCAUGUCUGCUCAUUUUUAAUUUGCGCUCACUUCUUAAGUAAACCACUUUGAUGCAUAUUUUCUCUUGGUUUCGGGAUAGUGUUCAUUGUAAACUCGAGCCAAUAUAUAAUUUUGGAUCUAGUAUUGAGGCUAAUUGUUGUCAAAAGUGGUAUAUGUAUGUAUAUAUCUAAUGCAUUGUGCUUUAUAAUUUAUAUGGAUGAAAAUAUUCAUGUGAUAAAAUGCACAAAGUUUGUGGGGCUCCUAACUAGCAUUAAUAGUUCGAAAACGAUAUGAUGAUAAGUGUGGAGCGCGAUGUUUAUUUGAAUUCGAUUCGUUGACAUUUCAUUGUUUGCUUUAUAGAAAAGUAAUAAAACGUUUAACUACUUACUAAAAUAUGUUUGUUAAAAGACAAUAAAGUAAAUACUAUGAAUCAAUCUUGAUAUCAUCGUUUUUAACAAAAAUAAUAAUAAUACGUGAAAAUAACCAAUAACCAUUUAUCAGCAUGACAGCAUCAAACAAACUGAAGUUACUAUAUGACGUGAAAAAGAACAUGUUGUAGGAAAGAAAACAAUGAGCAAUGAGAAAGAUGAUAAUGGACUAAUCAAUGGAGGAUAUACAAUGAGAAAGAAACAUAACUACUAAAAUAAUUGUAUGUUCGUUUAAUACCAAAGCAUUUAAAACUUAUAAAACUCAAAUCUUAAUUAGGCACCCAAACAAGAUUACAAGAUCUAGUUAUUUGUUCUAUUUGAAUUAUUUAUAAGAUUUAUAUGAAAAAUAAGAAAACUAACGAAACAACAUUCUUGUUAUAGGUUGUACUACAAAGAAUACACUACAAUUCAAAAUCUGUAAUCCUUGUUGUGUAAUACAUCUAAUUUAUCAACAUUAAUUAUCACCUCUAAAUUCAGUUAAUCUGGUGUAUUUAGAAGUGAUCACUUCUAAAUACACAUGAUAAGAUAACAUUAUUAAAUACGCGUUAAAAGAUGUAACUUGGAUAUGUAGCCAUGUAGGAUAAAUGAUCAAAUAUGAAUAGUUUAGGAAUAUUUUUAUUUCAAAUUUUAUAAUUAUCAAAUACAACUUUGUCCAAAUGAAAUAAAUUAUUAUUUGAAGUCAAAACAUUUAAUGCAUCAGUUACUUAAACAAUUAAUUCCAUAUUUACUUAUGUAAACACAUAUAUAUAGGUGUGUGUAUGUGUAUGUACAUUUGCCGUUCUAAAAAUUAAAAAUGUGUAUGUACGUACAUGUGUAAAAAGAAUAUAAGUUUAUUUCAUAAAUAUUUAUAUAACAAAUAAUGUAAACUUAUCUGGAAUAUAUAUACCUGGUGCUGUGACCCACUGUAUGUUUGUACAUACCGCUGCAAUUUUCCAACAGCUCCUUGUUCGUCUGCGUGCUUUUCUUAAUUAAAAAAUUAUAUGACUAAUAAUCAAAUACCCAAAAUUCUACCUUGUGACAUAAAAUAAUCAAACCGUAUGUGUUGUGAUUGUACUAAAAAAGAUACAAUGGUAUUUUAAUACAAACAUAACAUAUACAUAUGGUUUGAAUAAUAUUGUAAUUUAGUUAUACAGAGUUUUUUUUUACAAAGAGUUUUUAUAGUAUAAACUUUAAUUUAGUUAUAGGCGUGUUUCACAGCGUGUUUUUGAGAAUUUUUAAAAACUUUUAGACUUUAGCUUUUAAAAAAAAAACUCAAACUAAAGGAAAAUAUUUAUUUAAAAUUCGAACUUAAAACUUUUAUUUUAAAUAAUUCAAAAACUACUUCAAAUACAUUUAAGAGAAAAAAAUCAAUCUAUGUAAUAACCAAUUUAGUAAAUUACCUUUGUUAAACAUUAUCCUAAUCACGUUUAAUAAAUUUAUGUUUUUUAAUGAUUUUUAUUUGUAUACCACAAAAGACAAAAACACAACUACCCAAUCAAAGAUAAGCUUCUGGUUCAAACUGCAAAGAACAACAGAUACACAAAACUUUCUUAAUAUUUAUUUAAAAGUACGAAAAUAUGCAAUUGAUUCUCAUUUAUAUUUGUUAUCAUGCACUGAGUGCAUUCUACAGAGUUCUCUAAAUCAUUAAUAAAGCAAUGUAAUAGAUCAAAUUUAUUUUUUAUCAUUUAACAAAACCCAGAUUUGACGUCGUAUUACUUAACACUAAAGAAACAUAUCAAUCAUAAUAACUUGCCAUCGUAAGCACGUCCACAAAUUUCCAUGCAACGUGAAAGUUAAGUCAGCAUCAAUAAGUAUGAUGUGGACUCUAAUAGAACUUUCGUCGAAGUUUCUCUCUAAUGUCGUAUGCAUAAAAAAUUCCAUAUAAAACGUUAUAGUGUACGUCUUUGUCUAUUUAUAUUAUCUUUCUUCUCGUCUUAUAUACGUAGUUUCAACUGAUUAAUCGAUAGUUGUUAACAAUAAUUAAUGGUCCCAUGAGCGGCAUAUUUUAUUUGAAUUUUAGUAUAAUGGAUAAAGUAUUCCUCAUAUAAAACGAAUAUAUCGUCGAUCUAUAUUGCUCUGAGUAGAAGGAUGUAAAAGUGACGACUGCAUAUGACCUUAAAGAAUAAGGAGUCCAACUAUGAAUUUGUUAUAUAUAAAAACAGAAAGACUAUUGAGACAAUUUAAGUAAAAAUGAUCAUUCUCAUAAGAGUCUAAGAACAAUUUUUUUUUAAUAUCAAUAUGUAUAUUAAUUAUAGAAUUUAAUAAGCUUAGGUACCCAAACUCAUCAGAAUACAUCGUUUUGUUUAUAUAUUCAUUAUAAUGUUCUUAAACUUCAAUCCCUAACUUGAUUACUUUCAAGAUUUUUAAAAUUUCACUAUUUUCUUACUCUUACAUCACAUCUUUUUGCCGAACACCUACUACGCUAUAUAUAUUAUAGUUGAAAAUGAAAACUAUGUAAGAGGAAGAUAAAUGUGAAAUUUAUAAAAAUCUUGAAAGUAAAUCAAGUUAGAAGUUGAAUUAUAAGAACAUUAGACAAUUACAAUGUAUAUAUAUGAUACCAAACGACAUAGUAUGGUGAGUUUGGAUACCUAAACUUAUAUACCUUUAAGUUAUUUUCAUUUUUCCCAUAUAUAUAUAUAUAUAUAUAUAUAUAUAUAUAUAUAUAUAUAUAUAUAUAUAUAUACUCAUAUAUAUAUACUCACACAUAAANNNNNNNNNNNNNNNNNNNNNNNNNNNNNNNNNNNNNNNNNNNNNNNNNNNNNNNNNNNNNNNNNNNNNNNNNNNNNNNNNNNNNNNNNNNNNNNNNNNNNNNNNNNNNNNNNNNNNNNNNNNNNNNNNNNNNNNNNNNNNNNNNNNNNNNNNNNNNNNNNNNNNNNNNNNNNNNNNNNNNNNNNNNNNNNNNNNNNNNNNNNNNNNNNNNNNNNNNNNNNNNNNNNNNNNNNNNNNNNNUAAUAUUCAUAAUAGAAUAAUAAUAUAAAAUUUGUAUAGUUUAGUCUUAAACUUAUUUAUUGUUUUUAUUUGAAAUAUAUAUGUGUGUAUGUUUGUGUGGAAAAGAGAAUAUACUCUACAAAAUAUAUAAACUAAGAUAUCCUAACACAUCAUACUAUGUUGUUUUUGUAUCAUAUAUACAUUGUAAUCGUCAGAAGUUCUUAAAAUUCAACUCCAAAUUUGAUUACUUCCAAGAUUUUUGAAAGUUUAUUAUUAUCUUCCAUUUACAUCACAUUUUUUUCUCUUGAAUACCUACCACACUAUAUAUAUUAUAGUUGCAAAUAAAAAUUAUGUAAGAUGAAGAUAAUGAUGAUAUUUUUAUAAUUCUUGGAAGUUGUGACAACUGGGAAAUUUUCGUCAUCGACCGUCAUUAGAGAUUAGUAUGGACAAAUGAUGAUAAUAGCACUUUUCAUAUUUCAAGAAAAAUAUGAUUAGUUAUACGAUAGGGUCAAAAUAAGUGACAAAAAAAUUACGCCACUUUUUAUAAUGGUCAGUGUGUCAAUAUAGAUUUUGUAAAAAUCUGACUCUGAUUGGAAGAGUAAUGAUUUUAUAAAAAGUAGAAAUCAACCGUGUUAAUAAAGUAUCAAAAUGGUACAAGAAAUUGGUUGAGUUUGGCUAACGUCACAAAAACGAAAAUCUUAGGACUCCGAGAGAUACGAACUUUAAAAGAGAAAAUUUCAAAAAUUGAAUUCGUGUGAAGAAUAUACGAUUUUUAGAAAAAAUAUAAAAUACGGGUUAAAAAUAAAAGUUGAAAUUUGACAACGCAACCUUACCGAAAAUUAUAGUACUAUUAGACAGAUACAAAAGUAUAUAAAGAGGGUAAGAAACGAGAUUAAUAUAAGGAAUAUAUGAAUUUUAUAAAAGAUUUUGAGAUGUAUGCCAGAUUCGUGUGACACGAAUCUGACACCCAUAUUUUAUAAUGCCCGACGCACACGUCUGACACCCAGAUUCAUCGAGAUUAGAGAGACGUGGACCAUUAGAAGUGUGAUACGUGGCAAAUUCUAGAUGGAGCCACGAGUAGAGUGCACAUUGCGCGUGAAGUGUGUCGCAUGCCCAAACACUAGAAAUAGAGGUACUCACUUUGUAAUUUCUUCACACCCAAAACUCUCACACACACA
RNAcentral lists this long non-coding RNA (4807 nucleotides) under Lactuca sativa (garden lettuce). Its description in RNAcentral is "long non-coding RNA (LSAT_LNC005577)". Lineage: Eukaryota; Viridiplantae; Streptophyta; Magnoliopsida; Asterales; Asteraceae. The record is from RNAcentral.